Molecule: long non-coding RNA, 2595 nt
Organism: Myotis daubentonii (Daubenton's bat)
Lineage: Eukaryota; Metazoa; Chordata; Mammalia; Chiroptera; Vespertilionidae
Source: RefSeq, a predicted model, not a curated record
UUCCACUUGCAGGUGGUGCCACUGGCGCCGGGCUUCCUUGAGUUCUGCUUGAGCUGCCCUUAAAGCCUCUUCAUCUUUGUCCAUUUUUUUGCUCAGAUCUUCUUCCAGCUAGAAGAGAGCCAACAACAACAGUAACAAGGAAAGAAAGAGCUCUCUUGCAAGUGAGGCACUUAAGAGCAAUGAUAGAAAAAUAGCAUGGGAAUCGAAUCAUUAUUUUCUUUAAGUUGUUAGAUUACAAAUGUAUGUUUUAGUGCUUCGUUACUAAUCAUUUAAAUGUUGGAGCAAGUCCAUUGCACUCUCAGCCUCAGUUUUCUCAGGUGUAAAACGAACCUCAAAAGUCUCUUCCUACUAUGGCAGUCUGUGAAAUGCAGGAAAAAAAUACACCUAUUUUAAUAAAAAGUAACAGUUUACAGGACCUAAGUUUGAGACCUCUGAUUCUUAACUUUCCAGUAUUUAUGGCAUUAAUAAGGAAGAAGGAUUGAGAUUAGCUACUAUUUCCCCUCCCCCCCAUAUUUUCUUGUUGGUUGCUUUAUAAAAGCAGAUAAACUGUUAUAUACCCUAUAUUAAUCAAUUAUUGGACUGGGUACAUAGACAGGGAGUAAAUAUUGCUGGAAAGUGUAUUAUGAAUAAUUUAGAGAAUUAAGUUGUCAUAGACAUUAGAAACUCUAAAAUAGAUUUCGGUAUUAAGCUAACCCACUAUUGAUUUAUCUUUUUCAAUAUGAUCUUUUUAGAAGGCAUGCUAAUUUUGUUUAUCUGAGGUAGAAGCAAAAAAUGACUUCCUUCAAAAUUGUUUUCUAAAUGUCCUCAUAUUAAAUAACAAAUGGAUUAUUGUAUGGUUAGCUUUAAAUGUUCUUAUACUGAUGUUGAAAUUCAGUGAAAGGAUCUUUUGACAGAAUUCUGAACAUUUGGCCCCAUGAGCAGUAGGAGCAGUGUAUGAAGUUGGUUGUAAUAUUUUGAAGCAAAAGUUACAACCUUUUUAUGUUUUUAUAAAAAUGCAUUUUAAAAUUUAAAAAAUGUAAUAUGAUGGUACAACAGAUGUUUUAAAGGAGGAAACACUGCAGUACAUGAAAGUCUAUAAUGAAGUUUAGGGCAAAGUAUUAGAUAACAUUUAUAUGUUUCUUUUGAUUUGUUGUUCUCAGCGUUGUUGGCAAAAGCAAGCAGCAUCACAUAUCAGAGCAACUACAAAAGCAAGUGUUGAGAAUUUAAGAGAUAGGAGUACAUGAAAACGAUGGUAUUCAUUGGCCUUUUGCAUUUUGGAAUGGGCAGCGAAGCUUGGAUAGUAGCUAGAUUCUGAAGAUGGCCUGCAAUGAACCACCCGUCCCAAAAUGGAUGUCUUUGUGUGGUGGCCUUCCACAUUGAAUCUGGGCUGACCUAUGUCUUGCUUUAGCCCGUAGAAUGUGGCAGAAGUGUCAGUUUUAGGCCUAAGCCUUUAAGAAAUCCUGACAACUUGCACUUCUAUGCUUUUGGGAGCUUCUAUGCUUUUGGACCAGCAUGUAAGAAGUCUGCAUGCUCUGUUGGAGGGAUCAUAUAGAGAGGCCAGAUGGAGAGAGAUCCCGAGGCUACAUGGAGAGAGAGAAACAUUUGUCUCUGCUGAGCCAGCCUUUCAAAAUCCCAAGACGCCAGGUCCAUGAAUGAGCCACCUUGGAUGACCCAGCCCAGUUGUGCCCCAAGAUGAUUGCAGUCCCAGCCAAUGUCACGUCCAGCUGAAGUCACCCCCAGUGAACCUAGUCAAGCCACCGAAUCGUGAGAGGGAAUACAGUGACUUCUUUACUCUAAGUUUUGGGGUAGUUGUUAUAUAGUAAUAAGUAACUGAAAUAGCUCCCUAUUGUGUAAUAAUUAAACAGGCUUUCUUGAAUUUAUUUAAGCUGACUCUGAAUUCUUUGAAAACAAUCCUCUAAGGUAAAUAUGUUAAAACGACUAAACAAAAUGUACUGUAUGUAGUCUUGCUUUUUGGCUUUAGCUGAUGCAUUUCAGCAUUGUGACUUGUAAACUAAAUAACUUGUAUUUUUACUAAUGCAAAAAAAAGUGUUUAUUAGGUUUAUAAUUUUCAGAAAUUAUCAUUAAAAAUUAAUGGCCAUCCCCCCCCCCCUUUCUUUGUAAAAGGUGAAUGAACUAUUCCAACAGUUAAAUAUCCCAGUGACUCUGCUUAAUCCAGGAUACUGAUCAUUCUCUAUGAAGACUGACAAUGUUACCCAGAGAAUACGCUGCAUUGAAAAGGAAAUACUGUACCUCAGAGAGGCCGGGACAGGAAUUGGAUAGACAUGGAUUGUCUCCUUAUCCUGGAGGGUGUCUGUCUGUAUGAAAUCAUUACCUGGAUCCUUGUUGAGAGCACGGUCUCUAUCUGAUUUCUGAUGCAUACGGUGUGGCUCAUGUCGGGCUGCUGGCCUGACAGCGGGUUUGAUGUACUGGCGUGAAUUCCUGAAGGCACAUUACAGAUGAAACCACAGCGAGAGCUUAAAUGUCUCCACCUCCUGGGCUUGGUCAUUACUCUACUUUGAGACCAGCUUUGAUGUGCUCUCCAGUCAGCAAUAUCCUGAACUCAGCAUCAACAUGGUGGAGGGGCUGAGUCUGGAUAAUUUUGAACAAUUGAAAUAA